This 253-nucleotide unclassified non-coding RNA is filed under the name Murispora sp. RNAcentral's name for it is "partial internal transcribed spacer region". The stretch from base 1 to 46 matches the Rfam family "Eukaryotic small subunit ribosomal RNA", at positions 1786 to 1831 of the family's 1831-position model. The record is from RNAcentral. Lineage: Eukaryota; Fungi; Ascomycota; Dothideomycetes; Pleosporales; Amniculicolaceae.
AAGUCGUAACAAGGUUUCCGUAGGUGAACCUGCGGAAGGAUCAUUAUUGAAGGGGAAAAAAACUCCCCCAAAAAGGAUGUAGGCCAGCCUAAAUUUGGCUGGCACACACUGGCUAUGAAACCCUUGUCUAUAAGUACUCUUGUUUCCUCGGCAGGCUUGCCUGCCAAUGGGGACCCUAAUCAAUCUUUUAAUAUUGUUGUAACCGUAACCAAACAAAUAAUCAAAACUUUCAACAACGGAUCUCUUGGUUCUG